UACGUAGGUGGCGAGCGUUAUCCGGAAUUACUGGGUGUAAAGGGUGUGUAGGCGGGGAUGCAAGUCAGAUGUGAAAUUAUUGGGCUCAACUCAAUAAGCGCAUUUGAAACUGUAUUUCUUGAGAGUCGGAGAGGUAAACGGAAUUCCCGGUGUAGCGGUGAAAUGCGUAGAUAUCGGGAGGAACAUCAGUGGCGAAGGCGGUUUACUGGACGACAACUGAUGCUGAGACACGAAAGCGUGGGGAGCAAACAGGAUUAGAUACCCCCGUA
This 269-nucleotide ribosomal RNA is filed under the name uncultured prokaryote. Its description in RNAcentral is "partial 16S ribosomal RNA". It matches the Rfam family "Bacterial small subunit ribosomal RNA", at positions 524 to 792 of the family's 1533-position model. The record is from RNAcentral.